This 253-nucleotide ribosomal RNA is filed under the name uncultured bacterium. Its description in RNAcentral is "partial 16S ribosomal RNA". It matches the Rfam family "Bacterial small subunit ribosomal RNA", at positions 524 to 776 of the family's 1533-position model. The record is from RNAcentral.
UACGGAGGGUGCAAGCGUUGUCCGGAUUUAUUGGGUUUAAAGGGUGCGUAGGCGGCUCUUUAAGUCGGUGGUGAAAUACUGCAGCUCAACUGUAGCAUUGCCAUUGAUACUGAAGAGCUUGAGUACAGAUGAGGUAGGCGGAAUUUAUGGUGUAGCGGUGAAAUGCAUAGAUACCAUAAAGAACACCGAUUGCGAAGGCAGCUUACUAAGCUGUAACUGACGCUGAGGCACGAAAGCGUGGGGAGCGAACAGG